Molecule: long non-coding RNA, 293 nt
Organism: Heterocephalus glaber (naked mole-rat)
Lineage: Eukaryota; Metazoa; Chordata; Mammalia; Rodentia; Bathyergidae
Source: RefSeq, a predicted model, not a curated record
CUUAAAAGUCAAACUCAGGUCUUACACCAGCAAGAUAUUCAGAGCUGAUAUUUCACAGCUGUGUUAACUGUUUCUCAGAUUUGGACUCCUAGCCAAUUGUAGAGGCAAGAAAGAAGGGGAACAUAGAAGAAGGAGACCAAAAAGUCUGAAGGACAGUGAUUGCAGAAGAAGAAGAAAUUAUUCUAGAAAAUCAAGAGCAGAGUUUAUUGAGGACAAGAAAGAAAACAAGACAGCAGAAAAAACAUAUCACUGAAACAUCCAUCUACUUUCAAUAGAAGCAGGAUAGCUCCCAG